UGACCGGGAGCUGUAACUAUGGACUUUGC
This 29-nucleotide non-coding RNA is filed under the name Mus musculus (house mouse). The record is from RNAcentral. Lineage: Eukaryota; Metazoa; Chordata; Mammalia; Rodentia; Muridae.